UACGAAGGGUGCAAGCGUUACUCGGAAUUACUGGGCGUAAAGCGUGCGCAGGCGGUCCGCUAAGACAGAUGUGAAAUCCCCGGGCUCAACCUGGGAACUGCAUUUGUGACUGCAUGGCUAGAGUGCGGCAGAGGGGGAUGGAAUUCCGCGUGUAGCAGUGAAAUGCGUAGAUAUGCGGAGGAACACCGAUGGCGAAGGCAAUCCCCUGGGCCUGCACUGACGCUCAUGCACGAAAGCGUGGGGAGCAAACAGG
This 253-nucleotide ribosomal RNA is filed under the name uncultured bacterium. RNAcentral's name for it is "partial 16S ribosomal RNA". It matches the Rfam family "Bacterial small subunit ribosomal RNA", at positions 524 to 776 of the family's 1533-position model. The record is from RNAcentral.